GAUGAACGCUGACAGAAUGCUUAACACAUGCAAGUCAACUUGAAUUUGGGUUUUUAACUUAGGUUUGGGUGGCGGACGGGUGAGUAACGCGUAAAGAACUUGCCUCACAGCUAGGGACAACAUUUGGAAACGAAUGCUAAUACCUAAUAUUAUGAUAAUAGGGCAUCCUAUAAUUAUGAAAGCUAUAAGCGCUGUGAGAGAGCUUUGCGUCCCAUUAGCUAGUUGGAGAGGUAACGGCUCACCAAGGCGAUGAUGGGUAGCCGGCCUGAGAGGGUGAUCGGCCACAAGGGGACUGAGACACGGCCCUUACUCCUACGGGAGGCAGCAGUGGGGAAUAUUGGACAAUGGACCGAGAGUCUGAUCCAGCAAUUCUGUGUGCACGAUGAAGUUUUUCGGAAUGUAAAGUGCUUUCAGUUGGGAAGAAACAACUGACGGUACCAACAGAAGAAGUGACGGCUAAAUACGUG
Molecule: ribosomal RNA, 467 nt
Filed under: uncultured bacterium
Lineage: Bacteria
Description: partial 16S ribosomal RNA
Rfam family: Bacterial small subunit ribosomal RNA
Source: RNAcentral